UAUCUCUGUAGAGUCUGCAUAUCAAUAAGCGGAGGAAAAGAAACUAACAAGGAUUCCCUUAGUAACGGCGAGUGAAGCGGGAAGAGCUCAAAUUUGAAAUCUUCAAGGUUCUACCUUGACGAAUUGUAGUUUAUAGAAGUGUUUUCUGUUAGUGGAGUGGCAAAAGUUCUUUGGAAUAGGACAUCAUAGAGGGCGAGAAUCCCGUAUUUGGUCAUUCCUCCUAGCGUUGUGAUACACUUUCAACGAGUCGGAUUGUUUGGGAAUGCAGUCCAAAAUGGGUGGUAAAUUUCAUCUAAAGCUAAAUAUUGGCGAGAGACCGAUAGCGAACAAGUACCGUGAGGGAAAGAUGAAAAGAACUUUGAAAAGAGAGUUAAACAGUACGUGAAAUUGUCAAAAGGGAAGCGUUUGACACCAGUGUUGUUUUCUCGAAAAUCAAUUAAAAAUAAAUUUGAUUUUGUGUUGUAUUGACCUUAAAAGCUUUCUUCACUUUUUUCAUGUUUAUUUUUAAUGCACUUUUCGUUUAACAAGUCAACAUCAGUUUCUUUUGUUGUAAAAGGGUCAUUGGAAGGUGGCUUUCUUUUCGGAGAAAGUGUUUAUAGCCUUUGGCCUCUGCAAUCGGAGAGAUUGAGGUCUGCAGCGUAGAUCCUUCGGGGUUAGAUACAUUUGUGCUAAGUUAUAGCCUUUCAUAGACAACUUGUUGACUAUGAUCAGUCAUGUAGCUUACUCGCUUAUGCUAUUUUACCUACGCUUAGGAUGUUGAUCUCUCACAGUCGAGC
This 776-nucleotide ribosomal RNA is filed under the name uncultured Neocallimastigales. RNAcentral describes it as "partial large subunit ribosomal RNA". It matches the Rfam family "Eukaryotic large subunit ribosomal RNA", at positions 24 to 645 of the family's 3401-position model. The record is from RNAcentral. Lineage: Eukaryota; Fungi; Neocallimastigomycota; Neocallimastigomycetes; Neocallimastigales.